UACAGAGGGUGCGAGCGUUGUCCGGAAUCACUGGGCGUAAAGGGCGCGUAGGUGGUUAUGUAAGUGAGAUGUGAAAUCCCUGGGCUUAACCUAGGAACUGCAUCUUAUACUGCAUAACUGGAGUACUGUAGAGGGGGGUGGAAUUCCGCGUGUAGCAGUGAAAUGCGUAGAGAUGCGGAGGAACACCGAUGGCGAAGGCAGCCCCCUGGGCUAACACUGACGCUCAGGCACGAAAGCGUGGGGAGCAAACAGG
Molecule: ribosomal RNA, 253 nt
Filed under: uncultured bacterium
Lineage: Bacteria
Description: partial 16S ribosomal RNA
Rfam family: Bacterial small subunit ribosomal RNA
Source: RNAcentral